This is a long non-coding RNA of Hibiscus syriacus, 528 nucleotides long. RefSeq lists it as uncharacterized. The transcript has 4 exons. Lineage: Eukaryota; Viridiplantae; Streptophyta; Magnoliopsida; Malvales; Malvaceae. The record is from RefSeq and is a predicted model, not a curated record.
CCUUUCUCCUUUUUGAAAAAUGAUUUUAUCUACAUGCAUUUUCUCCUGAAUUAUUUUCUCCAUUUCUCAGUUGGGAGGAGAGUCUGAGCCACGGGUUAUUUUCCACAACAUUAUUCAAAUACCUCGCACAAAUCCACCGGUAUUUUUUUUUCCUUCAAAUUAUUCUUAAGUAAAUCCCAAGGUUAAAAACUAAUUAUUUUGGGUCUGUUUUUUGCAGGGGAGACUGUAACAGUUGUGGGGAUCAUGAUACUGCUUUAUUGAGAUACUUCGAUUGCACCCGUCAGGCCCUCGAUCCGCUUUCGAUGGCAAUGUGUUUUUCAGUUUGAAAUAAUGGAAUACAUUCUGGACUUUGCUUUUGAUCGAUUGGAUGCAAAUGGACCUCGGAAUAGAUUGAUCAUCCUAUCCUGAUUACGGAAUGUGUAUGCAACCCAGUUCAAUCUCGCAGUAAAAUGGCAGAACUUCUUUUUGAGACUUACGGAGUUCCAUCUGUAGCAUUGUGGUGUGAUGCUGCUUUCAGCUAUAAGUAUA